This 1277-nucleotide long non-coding RNA is filed under the name Vitis vinifera (wine grape). RNAcentral's name for it is "long non-coding RNA (VVIN_LNC005185)". Lineage: Eukaryota; Viridiplantae; Streptophyta; Magnoliopsida; Vitales; Vitaceae. The record is from RNAcentral.
UCUCUCCACGCUCGCCGUUUCCGUCAGAGCUCACAAUAUUACCGAUAUGCUCUCUCCCUUCCCGGAGUACAGCCUCUACAACAGCUACCUCAGCCAAACUAAGCUUGCCGACGAGAUCAACAGUCGCCAAACACUCACCUGCCUUGUCCUCAACAAUGCCGCUAUGUCUGCGCUGGCCGGGAAACACCCCCUCUCCGUCAUCAAAAAGGCUCUCAUGCUCCUCGUGGUUUUGGACUACUACGACGGCAAAAAGCUCCACGAAAUCUCCGAUGGCACCACUCUUUCCACCACUCUCUACCAAACCACCGGUAAUGCUCCUGGUAAUCUUGGUUUUGUAAACAUUACAGAUCUGAAAGGUGGCAAGGUCGGUUUCGGCUCGGCGGCUCCCGGCUCCAAGCUUGACUCGAGUUACACGAAGAGUGUUAAGCAGAUCCCGUACAAUAUCUCGGUUCUUGAGAUCAGCGCGCCGAUCAUUGCGCCGGGGCUUCUGACGGCUCCGGCUCCGUCGGCUUCUGAUGUGAACAUUACGGGUUUGCUUGAGAAAGCUGGAUGCAAGACGUUUGCGUCGUUGCUUGUGUCGACUGGUGUGAUCAAGAUCUAUGAGUCAGCGGUGGAGAAAGGUUUAACUGUUUUCGCGCCUAAUGAUGAGGCUUUCAAAGCUGAUGGUGUGCCUGAUCUGACCAAGCUCACCAAUGCUGAGCUGGUGACGCUUUUGCAGUAUCAUGCUGUCGCUGCAUACAGUCCGAUAGGGUCGUUGAAGACUAGCAAAGAUCCGAUCAGCACGCUUGCAACUAGCGGCGCAGGGAAGUACGAUCUGACAGUGUCCACCGCCGGAGAUUCCGUUACCCUGAAGACCGGCGUGGACUCGUCCAGAGUAGCCGACACCGUGCUUGACGCUACGCCACUCUGCCUCUUCACCGUUGACAACUUACUCCUCCCGACCGAGUUGUUCGGAAAAUCUCCAUCUCCGGCACCUGCACCGGAACCAGUGUCAUCCCCCUCCCCAACUCCAGCGGUCUCUCCAAGCCCGUCACCAGCUGCCGAAGCACCUACACCCGUCUCCUCCCCUCCAGCUCCACCGAUGGAGUCGCCGGAAGGCUCUCCGUCAGAUGCCCCUGCUGAAUCAGAAAACAGCACGACGGACAAAUCGGCCGUCGACGUCACCGCUCCGGCAGUGUUGAAACUACUCGCCACGGUCAUUUUCACGGUUCUGUUGUCCUGAAUAGUAAUUUCCUUGGAUUGUUAAUUUAUUUCACUUUAUUUUUCCACGGUUUUCC